Long non-coding RNA from Contarinia nasturtii (swede midge), 652 nucleotides. RefSeq lists it as uncharacterized. The record is from RefSeq and is a predicted model, not a curated record. NCBI's taxonomy places the organism in Eukaryota, Metazoa, Arthropoda, Insecta, Diptera, Cecidomyiidae. The transcript is spliced from 6 exons.
UUACCGCUGAAGUUUCAGUUUAUAAAUAUUUACCUAUUCAUUUAUUUUUUGUUAUCAUUUGCAAAAGUGAUAGAACAAAAUAGAAAUGAAUUCCAUUAAAGAGGAAUGCAAAGUUAAUAAGCUAUAUUCAGUUAGUGUGUCCAUUAAAGAUGAAUGUUCAAAUAUUCAAAUUAAAGAGCAAAUUUCGAAAAUUGUAAUGGCAUGUUUGCUCGCUAUCACCGGUUUUAUUCUAUUCGCAGUCGGGCUUUCAAGUUUACUGGAAAAUCCCACUAUUUAUCAAGAUACAUGGGCUUGGACAAUCCCAUUAAGUAUUUUAUUGAUUGGUUUGAUAACAGUAUAGAUUGCUUAUUUGAGCUACAGUGCUAUACUAUGGAAAGAUUUAAAUGCAUCACUGUUUGUUUUAAGUAUGCUAACACUCAUCAUCGUUAUACAACUUUUAAUUGCAACUUAUAUCAGCCUCGAUGAAUAUUUAUGGUCUUUGAAUUUGGAAUAUUUUAUACCAGGCAAUUUUUCGCUGAUUGCCUACGAUAUUUCCGCCAUUCAGAUUUUCUGUUGGAUAUAUACAAUUUGUUUGUGCGACGAAUUUAUUGCAAAUGCCAAAGAAUCGCGACGAGAAAUUCUGAUCAAAUAUAUAAAUAUCAUUUUAUUAGCU